RNAcentral lists this transfer RNA (66 nucleotides) under Urocyon cinereoargenteus (gray fox). RNAcentral describes it as "tRNA-Pro". Lineage: Eukaryota; Metazoa; Chordata; Mammalia; Carnivora; Canidae. The record is from RNAcentral. RNAcentral also lists the same sequence under 7 other names.
CAGGGAAUAGUUUAAGAAGAAUUUCAGCUUUGGGUGCUGAUGGUGGAGCUGGUGCUUCUUCCUUGA